GAAAUGCGAUAAGUAGUGUGAAUUGCAGAAUUCAGUGAAUCAUCGAAUCUUUGAACGCACAUUGCGCCCCUUGGUAUUCCAUGGGGCAUGCCUGUUCGAGCGUCAUUUGUACCAUCAAGCUCUGCUUGGUGUUGGGUGUUUUGUCUCGCCUCUGCGUGUAGACUCGCCUUAAAACAAUUGGCAGCCGGCGUAUUGAUUUCGGAGCGCAGUACAUCUCGCGCUUUGCACUCAUAACGACGACGUCCAAAAGUACAUUUUUACACUCUUGACCUCGGAUCAGGUAGGGAUACCCGCUGAACUUAAGC
This 305-nucleotide unclassified non-coding RNA is filed under the name plant metagenome. RNAcentral describes it as "partial contains 5.8S ribosomal RNA, internal transcribed spacer 2, and large subunit ribosomal RNA". The stretch from base 1 to 105 matches the Rfam family "5.8S ribosomal RNA", at positions 50 to 154 of the family's 154-position model. The record is from RNAcentral.